CAUCGCAUCCCAGCCGACCCUCUCUUGCCGCCUCCUGCCCCGGCCCCUUUUUCUCGCCGAUCAUCUCCGACACGCACGCCCCUCGCCGGCAAUCACCUACGCCUCAGUUCCUCAUCCUUCUACUAUCUCCGUCUGCAACCCUUGCUCGUUUUACUAUCCAUCUCUUCCAAGUGGUCUAAAUGGUUGUUCUUGGGGAUCCUGCUACAACUGGUUUCUCGCGCCUCCUUGCUUUCUGCACUAGUACGGGAAGGCAAAGAUCUGAUCUCUGUAGGCGCAAGUAUUCUCAACCUGAUAGAUUCCACCUUAUUCGAGGUGGCUUGAAUCAAUAGCAUGACCAUGGAUUGUCAGUUAGUAGAGUUUUGGCGCCACAGUUGCCCGCAGUUUCGAAAGGCCAACACGGUUCACUAGUAGAGGAACUUGAUUCACUGGAAGUGUACCCAAAAAUCAUACACUUUUUUCGUCGUCCACUGCUUCAUGACAAUGCUGUUGUAGUGCUGCUGAGGCAGGUCCAAGCAAAGGUUUCAGGUGACAUUGUUGAGAUAAAAACUGAAGUUUGUUUCAACAUAGGUCUUGAUGGUGACUCAUCGAAGGAGAAACUUGGAGCACUUACGUGGCUUCUGCAGGAGACAUUUGAGCCUGAGAAUCUUCAGGCAGAGAGCUUUCUUGAAAAAGAAAUUGACAUUGAUGCUGGUAUUGUAAUUGUUGAAGUUGGAGCACUUACGUGGCUUCUGCAGGAGACAUUUGAGCCUGAGAAUCUUCAGGCAGAGAGCUUUCAUGAAAAAGAAGUUGACAUUGAUGCUGGUAUUGUAAUUGUUGAAGUUGGACCUCCCAUGUCCUUUACUUCAGCAUGAUCAACAAAUGUUGUAUCAACUUGUCAAGCGUGUUCCUUAAUAGUAGUUGAUCCGGCGGUAAGAACAGGGGACCCCCGUUCCGAGAAGUCAACGCCACGUGGAGGUCAAAAGGACUAUCGGAGAAGGGUGGGCCGACCGGCCGACCGGAAAAGGUUGGAUCGACCGGCUACCGGUGUCUAACUGAAGUGUAAGGCACCCCGGUGGAAGUUAGGGUUCCGACGCUCAUGUUGAACAGGAUCGUACGGUCGAGCGGGUAGCCCGCUCGGCCGAAGGAAUAAUGUAGCAAUACUGCGAACAGUCUUCACAGAGCACACUACCGGGAAUCUCCAAAGUGGACCCGCGCAUAUGACCGGCCGGACGUAAUGGGACUGCUGACCGGUCGGACACUCGGCAUGGGGUAAGGAGAAAAGGACAAGGAAACAUCUUCUGACAACGGAUAUGUCCAACGAGAAGGUCAUAAGCAGGAUCUUAUGACAGAGGGUUCCGUUGUCCCAUCAGAGACGUGCUCGGACUGUAGCAGUAUGGUGUCAGGUAAGCUUGUCUGAUAAGCCCAUGCUGAGGACACGUACGCGUCUCGGUAUUUGUGCGUGAGCCUCUUCGCAGCUCUAUAUAAAGGACCUCACACUUCAUGGGAGGUACGCGUUCUUUGAUAUUCGAAGCCACCUCUUUGCUGUCCACUUGCCUGACUUGAGCGUCGGAGGGUCGUCGCCGGGA
This is a long non-coding RNA of Zingiber officinale, 1565 nucleotides long. RefSeq lists it as uncharacterized. NCBI's taxonomy places the organism in Eukaryota, Viridiplantae, Streptophyta, Magnoliopsida, Zingiberales, Zingiberaceae. The transcript is spliced from 3 exons. The record is from RefSeq and is a predicted model, not a curated record.